GGACUUGCCCCAUUUUUUUUUCUAUGCCGGCGCGCAAUUACCCAAUCUAGACGGUAUGAGGUGGUGAAAAAAAAAUACUAGGGUGAUCCAUUGGAUCAUGUUUGAUGAGGUACUAGAAGUCGUUGAGAAACAACUGGAGGGCCAAGUCCUGGUGCCAGCAGCCGCGGUAAUUCCAGCUCCAGUGGUUUGAUUAACGUGUUGCGUUUAAAACGCUCGUAGUUGGAGCAUGCAGUGGUGGAGGUGUAAUCUGUGGUUGAUACCGAGCUAGUGUGUAUGUGUUGAUGUUUCAAUGUUUGUCUCGUACAAAUGUUGAGAGGUUGAUACAACUGGAGCGUGUGUUGAGCCAAGAUGUGAAUGCACUUGACUACUAGUUGCACGUGAAGUGAGACGUUGGCCUUGAAUGUGCCGAUGUGUCAGUUUGCGGAGUGUGCCUUGAAUAAAACAGAGUGCUUAAAGCAGGUGUUGACUGCCUGAAUGUGAUAGCAUGGAACGAACGAUCGUGUUGAUGCAUGUGUUGAUUAAGUAGUGAUGAGCCUAUGGUUUGUUGAGACUUGUGUGUGACACGUGCUGCACCCACCAAAAUAUGGUUGUUGGUUGAACAUAUGAGGUGAUGAUUAAGAGGAGCGGUUGGGGGCAUUGGUAUUUGGCCGCGAGAGGUGAAAUUCUUAGACCGGCCAAGGACUAACAAAUGCAAAGGCAGUUGUCUAGACCGUGUCCAUUGAUCAAGAACGAAAGUGGGAGGUUCGAAGACGAUCAGAUACCGUCAUAGUUCCCACUGUAAACUAUGCCGACCUGGGAUGAGUUUGCAGAUGUUGUGAUAAGCUGCAAAUUGGUCCCCCUGGGAAACCUGCAAGUUUUUCGGUUACGGGGAGAGUAUGGUCGCAAGGCUGAAACUUAAAGGAAUUGACGGAAGGGCACCACCAGGGGUGGAGCCUGCGGCUUAAUUUGACUCAACACGGGGAAACUUACCUGGUCCGGACAUCGAUAGGAUUAUCAGAUCGAUAGCUCUUAUAUGAUUCGAUGAGUGGUGGUGCAUGGCCUCUUGCCACGGAACCACCAAAAUGUUCAAAAUA
RNAcentral lists this ribosomal RNA (1073 nucleotides) under Myxobolus sp. AKPSC.2022.4. Its description in RNAcentral is "SSU rRNA". It matches the Rfam family "Eukaryotic small subunit ribosomal RNA", at positions 57 to 1457 of the family's 1831-position model. The record is from RNAcentral. Lineage: Eukaryota; Metazoa; Cnidaria; Myxozoa; Bivalvulida; Myxobolidae.